Non-coding RNA from Xyrichtys novacula (pearly razorfish), 7050 nucleotides. The record is from the annotation of a GenBank genome assembly. Lineage: Eukaryota; Metazoa; Chordata; Actinopteri; Labriformes; Labridae.
CUCGACAGCGCCCAUUCGUGGUAGCGGCCGAUGCGGGGUCUAUCUUUUAUUAUGUCUAUGGGAAGAAGUGUCCUGCUUCCGUAGUACACGCCCCCAUGAAAGACAUUUCCGGUUGUAGCUCAUCACGCACGGGUGUGCCAAAGUUUACCUGGCUGAGAGGAGCGUCUCCAUAGCGAAUUUGUUUUCAUUUUAUACUUCAAGAGAUACUCAUCUCAAAGGAGGAAACUUUUCAUAGAUCUGGGAGCAGCUGGAGAAACUGUUUUUAACACUCGCACACUGCUGCAAUCCACCGGAGUAACCGAAUAUGAUGAAGAUGUAAGAGAUAUCUCAUGGAAACAGCAGAGGGCAGCAGUACGCCUCGGAUGCGUCCAGUCUGCCAAAACCGUAGAAGAAGAAGAAGAGGAGACGCAAGAUGCAGCUGAAAGAGUUUACAAAAUGAGGUAAAUCAAGAAAGAAAAAACAAACAAACACCGACGCGCUACAGAUGAUUUGCGGAUCUUUAGAUGUUUGUGUCUUUUGUCAGUGUUUGUGUACUGUUACCGUCACGAGCCUGUCCCUUUAAGUAGGUGGCUUAUGGGUAAUGUAGGCAGAGAUAGUCUGUUGUGUUUUUGUAGCUCUGAAUGAAAGUACACUUUUCAGAAGUUACGCUCCAUCUUUACAAUGUUUUCUCCUGACAUGUCAGCCAGUUACCAGUCUUAAACGAGCCAAAGUAGCUGUCCCACACCACGGUUAGGGACGAGGUAGCUCAAAAGGUAAACACCUUUAAUAUCUUGCUGUGUCUUCCUCCCACACACCCCAUGGCUCCAUAUAUCCUAGGAUAAUUUGGCAAUUUGAGGACAUUAGAACCUAAAGGCGAAACAUCAGAUCAUGGCUGAACUCGUUGGUUGCGUAUGAAAAUUCUGACUUGUAUUCCUGGCCCAGAAACAGUUUGUGAUGUAGAAAAAAAAAGUCAUCUCACUUUCUAACAGCGUAUGUAAUAAAUAACAGAGGUGAUUAAAGAUAAAAUUUGAAGAGAUGGAAGUGUGUUCAGGAUGAAAGUAACGUGUGUCUUCCUCCCCAGGUAGAGAAACACCACCCAGAACCCACAAGCUCUGCUGGACUUGGAGCUGUGUUUGGCUGACACACAGUCUGAGGUGAGUCUGCAAGUAACCAUUGACUUUCUAACACUUGUUAUUUUCCAGUCUAACCACUUUAGGGUCAGAUCUCAGACCCCCAUCAGAUCGUUUUUUAUUUCUGAAUAAUGCAAAGCUUGAACAGCUGGCGCAGAGUUGUUGAAGUUAUAGAAAAGUGUAUCUUUUUACGAUAUGAACAACUGGUAGGCCAACAAACGGAGAAGUGUACAUAUUCAUUUGUUCAGGAAGAUGGUAGUGAAAAUGUCUGGUGGAAGAAAAUACUCCAGACUCCACAUGUCUUGUACAUUUGUCAGUAAUCCUUUUCUUCUCUCCUUGGCAGGCAUCUGGAGGCGUGUAUGAAGAGUUCAUCGACUCUCCAAGUCUAGAUAAUGUCCACAGCUGCUAUUGCGCCCUGCAGGUCACUGUCCAUACAUACAGGAAUAAUGUAAUAUUUUAUGCUGCACUAUGUUAAAUCUGUACAUCAUUUUUGUUGUUUUAGCAAUGCUUUUUGUUGUCUCUUAGGGGCGAGUGGAGUCUUGCUCUGGAAACUGUCUAGGCAAAGAAAGGAAUGAACUCUCUGUAUGACAAUGAAGAGGUGAGUGAGACUCAAACUGGACCAGGUUCUGAUGUAUAAUGAGGAUGAGUUUCUGCCAUAGACUGUAUAUAGAACGGACGCCGUCUGCCUCCUCGCUGGGUGAAGCCACCCUGAGAACAGUACCCGCUGCUGACGGGUUGCAGUGUAGGUUGUAAAUUCUGCCUCUGCCAGCAAUCCUUAAUGAGCUGUAGACAAAGGUUAGAGAUGUAUUACACUGAAUCUAAAAUUUUCUCCCCCUUGGUUGUGAUGUUGACAUGUAGUUACUGUAAGAGUGGUUUGUGCUCAAGUCCUCUUUUUUUUCUGUACAGCUCCAUUUUUCAAAGUUAUUAGGGGGUUCAUGUUUUCUACGAUUGACACUUGAUACAGCCUACGGGUGUAUGAAUAUUGCGUUAGCAGAGUGUCAUCACAGCGGCUCUCAGUGAGUCUCCAGCCGAAUGCGUACAACGCUACUGCGCAAUGUCGGUUCCACGAAGUGGAGGAAAAACCUGGAUAAACUGAGAGCUCUUGGGCUUACUGGCUGAAGGCAGAACCAAGUUGUCCAUAGUAUAUAUACAUGAUGAACACACAACUGUUCCCAGUGAUGGGUGAGGUGAAAGUGAUAGGUGGAUGAAGGAGAAAACUGUUUGUUUAGAGAAAACAUACAUACAAUCAUCUCCACAUCUGAGUAACUUAUUAAUGUGCACUACAGAAGAGUCCAACUUCAAUGAUACAUAAUACAUGAUACACAACACAAGAUACGGUUAUCAACAAUGAAAUAAUUGAGUAGUAUUAUAAGAAAGAUCAAAAACUGUCUGUGUAUUACUGACAGCACAUAUGUGUGUAUGUGAUAGUGCAGGUGGCAAUAAAAAUGUGAAAAGUUGUGUGUUUUUUGUGUCUUUUGUGAAUGCAAAAAUAGUGAUAGUGGGAAGUGUCAUCCAGCGGGAGAAGCUGCUGUAACUGAGUUGAAUCUCAUCACUAUUCUGCUGAAUAUGUCCAAUGCUACUGUGCAGUGUUGGUUUCAGGACGUGGAUAAAAAAGCUUUGAAAUCUGGCAAAAGGCAGAACCAAGUUGUCCAUAGUAUAUACAGUCUAUGGUGUGUCUGUGUCAAUGAAUCAUUUUGUUGUACUGUCUGUGUGUGAGGAUAACUACAAACACAUGGACAAACAGAAAGACAGGAAGAGAGAUACUGGUUCGACUUACAUUGGGUUGGGGUCUGGUCGGUGCAGAUCCACUAAAUGAUUUAUGAUUGUAAUUUCUUGGAGAUGUAGUUUUAAAUGGUGUGAGAUGACUAUAAUUAAUCCAAAAUACCUUGCACAUUGCCAAAUGACGAACUAAUGUCUGGUUUUAAUAUGAUAUGAAAGUGUGAAUGGAAUGCUAAUAGUUGAUAAAAUCCAAUAAUUUGGAAAUAUCAUGCAAGUCAUGCCAACAGUCACAACAAGAUGAAACUAAUGAAUGUAAUCAGCCUCUGUGAAGUGAAAGCAGUAAGUCACCUGUUCUGAUGAUCCCUAUAGAGAUAUUGUCCGGGCCAAGAACAAAUUCUGAAUAUAAUAUAGUUAUUUGACAGCAUACAGAAUAUUGUGGUCAUCAUUAAGGGUAUAAAAUGAGUGACUAUCCCUUUAUCAUUAGACAUCUCCCAAGAUGUAAAAUCAACUGUGAUAGGAUUGUUAUAAGAUCUAUGAAUACAUUUGUCUUAGAUGUCACUGUUGGACCACGCCCCUAUUUCUGACGCUUGAUGUAGUCUGAGGUGAACCAUGUGUUUUACCUUGCUUUUCCAGCGAAGAGUAGAUGAUUCCGAAAAAGAUAUUUCAACAUGGAAAUACCUCCAUAUUAGGCUGGUGGUGUGCUUAAGAGGUAUAGGUACAUAAAGAGUCCACCCAAAUUGUGCAGUACUUAAUGUACUUGUCAUAUUUCCAUCAUGCUGGCAUUUCAAAAGAGCAGUGUAAAUCCUCCCUUAAAAAAGACCAUGUGAGACAACCAGGGGUGAAGCUUUGUAUUCUAUCGAUUGUGUUUGGUAUCUGUUGUGUAGAGCAGCACUGUCUAUUCCCCACAGGAUGUUCCAGGCAGCAGUAUUGUGCAGCCCUGGUGAGCUGUGCUCAGUAUAGAAGAAACAACAUGCUCCAAACAUGUUGUUGUGCCUUUCUGUGUUCUGUUUCCUGUUAAUUUGGAUAUUGACUGUUUAGCUUCUACUGUAUGUGAAAAAGCAGCAUGAUUUUACAGUGUAGGUUUUUGCAGGUUUACUUGUGUGUAAUACAGGAAACUAUAUUCCACAUCCAGAGUAACCAAAAAUGUUGUGUUGUUACUUAAUUUUGUUUGUGGUAUCCUGGAUGUAAGCAGGAAGUGAGAACAAAAAAGGUUGAAUGAAAUAAUCAACAUAUUUGGACAGAGGCUCAGGGAGGCUAUCAUUGCCUGAUAUAUUUGGGUUUUGGCUUGCUCCUGUACCAUCCAUGUCCUGGUUCCUGUCCCCUCUCUCCUGUGUUUCUGUUGGUUAGUUAUUGUUGGGAGGCAAAAGAAGUUUGAUGUGUCGCCUGUUGUUGUCGUUGUCUUUGUCCUUGCUGCUUGACAAGUUAAAAGAAACAGUUUGUGGGUGUUGUAGAUCAUGCCCUUGUUGUAGUCUACAGUGUCUCUGUGGAAUGUUAUGUUUUAUUUGUUGAUACUUUGUGUGUAUGUCAUCAUGCCGUGAAUUAUUUUUUGUUGUACUUGUCAUGUGUUGGGAUGGGCUGCCUGUUUAUUUCCCUUACCACAGCUAUUUCUUUGUGUAUUGCUUCUCUGUCUGAGGUUGUUUAGUGUUCACCAGAUGUAGGUCUAACCAAUUUGCAAUCUCCUUUUGGAGAAGCUCUCCUUUAAAAGUCGCUAUCACAACCUAGCAUAUGUUUUCUUGACUUCCUGGUGAAGGCUUGACGGCGGAAUGCCGAGAAGUUUGCUUCUAAGGUUUACAUGACUGUGCUGCUGAAAAAAAGGCAGUGGAUCAAAUAUGUCUGAACAGUUUUCUGUAACACCACACAGUCCUGUGGACUCAACAUGCUGGGGGUCAAAUGUCAUGGUGAUCAUGCAGAGAGUGUGUGUGUGUGUGUGUGUGUGUGUGUGUGUGUGUGUGUGUGUGUGUGUGUGUGUGUGUGUGUGUGUGUGUGUGUUUGUGACUCAGGUAGAUGCUGCUGCUGCUGGAGAUGGAUCAGAGUGUUUCCUGUUGCUGGAUACCUCAAUCUGACUGGAUCAUGAAAACUGUGUGCACGUAUUCACAGAGUGAGUGGAUUCACAUGCAAAGAUAAACACUGUGAGUCACAGAGAGCUGACAGUGUCUGACAUAAAGUGUAAAACUCUUUUCCAGAUGUCUGUAUGGUGAGGAGAAGAAGCAGGAGGAAGGGGAGCUCAACAGGAACAGGCCAUCCAUGUGACUGUGGUGAAGAAGAUCUGUAUCAGUGACAGACUGUUUUGUGGCCCAAUCCAGGUUCCUUAGAGCAGCUUCUAACUGAGUCCAACAGGUGUGUUCAGGCAGCUGUAUGUAGGUGUUGCUUUAACAGUCUGCUGCAGCAGAAUAUAGUCUUUGUUUGGUGUGAAUGUUUGUAUGUGAUCACUCUUCAUUGUCAGCUGCAAAUGCAGAACCUGCAGGUUGUGCAGGUGGGGGUUAUUAUGGACUGUAAUCAGCUACGGCCUAAAGAUCAGCCAUCCAGCUGACUGUCUUAUCGGGCCAGAAGUAGUGAGAGACCGUCUGUUGGUGUCUUGCAGUAAGGUCUUAGCCUUUAUCAUGUGGAGGCAGAGAGUUGGGUUCUCCAUUUGUUAGACCAGUUUGACUGUAUGUGUCCACUGUAGGAGCUUUGAGGUGUUUGCUUUCCACCAACCGAAGCUCUGUGUUUGACAAAGUCUUUGCUGGCCCUGACGGUCACUGGUGUCCUGAACUGUCCUACAUAUGUAUGGACGGAGAGUGUGAGCUGCCUCCAGGAGCUACAGUGGGGGAUGUUCAGAGUUAGUUGCCAGAGUGCUAUCAUGUGGCCUGUCAGUGGUCACCAUAUGACUUGAGUGAGUGAACACUGAGUACAGGAAACAAGAUAUGUGGUGUUUGGUUGACUGUUUCAGGGCAGUUGAUCUUAAGACUAAUGUGGGCUGUUUGUGCACUUGUCUUUUAUCAGGUGCGCCUGUGCACGUGUUCCCAUUGGACUGGAGUUUUGGUAUGGUCAAGGUUGGAGGUGGAGCUAGGAUGGAGUUUGAGAGGAAUGAUGAGCUGAGACCAGACAUGAAGGCGAGUUUGUGUUUGUUUAUUGGCAAUUGUAGGUGUAAUUUUCUGGAGUCAAAGUUUGAGCAGCUACAAACCACAGGAGCUUGAUUCAGUGAAGAAGCGUAGCCUCAGAGCAGACAUGGUUGACUCAGAUCUGACACAUGUUUAAGGACACCUUAGGUGUUCCCACAUGUUUACUGAGGAGCAUGCAGGAAUGAUGUUAACCAAAGUUUUCUCUUGUUGUCUUCUCUUGUCUUCUUACAGGUUGGUGGUGUGAACAGAGUUGUCUGUAGAUCAUCAAUCACAAAAGGAGGUAGAAGGUUUUGGAGGUCCAGUUCCAUGUCCAACAAAGAGCUGAGCAAAGUGUUAGCUGAAGGCCCAGCUGAGGGCCAUCAGGUUAAUGUGAGCAUGGAGGCACCAACCACCAUGGAAAGCCAACAGACACGGAAGGACUUGCCUUAGAGAUAGAAGGUGUCCUGGAGGUAGAAGAUUGGAUGAGGGUUCCCAGGAGCGGAGCUGGCAAUUGAAUGUAAGUGGAUAUUUCAGAGCAUAGUGGAAGGAUGUGUGGCCUUCCCGGCGCCCUUCCCCAGGCUGACUUGCACAGGUUGACUUGCUGGUCUUUGCAAGUACGGUCUUCGCACAGACGGGCCGACGCACACGGGCUGGCGCCCAAGGGUCAACUGUGUCUACUCAUAUAGCACCUACCCGCACAGCUGAAGCCCACUUCGGCAACGGCACACAGGUGAAACUCCUUACGCAUCAAUGCAUCGCCUGUUUUCUCCCUCUAGCCCGCCCAUCAAGAGUGGAAGGUCACAUCGAUCAACGGGAACCCCUGACUUCACCCACAGAUUCAGCAUUGACCAAGGGUGAUGAUGCACAUCUGAAACUCAUUAGUCAUCAAUGAGGCAAACUACAGAAGGUGGGAACCACCUCCAUUAAUCCCACCCGCCAAUCAACAGGAAUCCUAACCCAUGACUACACCCAAAGGCUUGGCUGUGGGCCUUGUACGCAUCAGCACUGUUGGCUCUUGGUGUACUGUCCAUUCUGUAUGUCAUUACCAUAAGAUGUGUAUGUCUGACUGUACCCAUGGUUGUCUGACCCAAGCCCAAAUAAAAGACAUGUGACACAUCCUGUGACAGUCAAUCUCUGAUUCC